UAAUACGGAGGGUGCAAGCGUUAAUCGGAAUUACUGGGCGUAAAGCGCGCGUAGGCGGUUUAGUCAGUCAGAUGUGAAAGCCCGGGGCUCAACCCCGGAAGUGCAUUGGAUACUGGCAGACUUGAGUAUGGGAGAGGAAAGUGGAAUUCCGAGUGUAGGAGUGAAAUCCGUAGAUAUUCGGAGGAACACCAGUGGCGAAGGCGGCUUUCUGGACCAAUACUGACGCUGAGAUGCGAAAGCGUGGGGAGCGAACAGGAUUAGAUACCCUGGUAGUCCACGCCGUAAACGAUGGGUACUAGGUGUUGCGGGUAACCACUCCUGCAGUGCCGCAGCUAACGCAUUAAGUACCCCGCCUGGGGAGUACGGCCGCAAGGCUA
RNAcentral lists this ribosomal RNA (377 nucleotides) under uncultured delta proteobacterium. RNAcentral describes it as "bacterial SSU rRNA". It matches the Rfam family "Bacterial small subunit ribosomal RNA", at positions 521 to 896 of the family's 1533-position model. The record is from RNAcentral. Lineage: Bacteria; Deltaproteobacteria.